RNAcentral lists this ribosomal RNA (830 nucleotides) under Haloterrigena sp. BAB-4202. RNAcentral's name for it is "bacterial SSU rRNA". It matches the Rfam family "Archaeal small subunit ribosomal RNA", at positions 27 to 859 of the family's 1478-position model. The record is from RNAcentral. Lineage: Archaea; Methanobacteriati; Methanobacteriota; Halobacteria; Halobacteriales; Natrialbaceae.
AUGCUAUUGGAGUCCGAUUUAGCAUGCUAGUUGCACGAGUUCAGACUCGUAGCAGAUAGCUCAGUAACACGUGGCCAAACUACCCUAUGGAUCCGAAUAACCUCGGGAAACUGAGGCUAAUUCGGAAUACGGCUCACCACCUGGAGUGGUGUGAGCCCGAAACGCUCCGGCGCCAUAGGAUGUGGCUGCGGCCGAUUAGGUAGACGGUGGGGUAACGGCCCACCGUGCCCAUAAUCGGUACGGGUUGUGAGAGCAAGAGCCCGGAGACGGUAUCUGAGACAAGAUACCGGGCCCUACGGGGCGCAGCAGGCGCGAAACCUUUACACUGCACGAAAGUGCGAUAAGGGGACUCCAAGUGCGAGGGCAUAUAGUCCUCGCUUUUUGCGACCGUAAGGUGGUCGCGGAAUAAGUGCUGGGCAAGACCGGUGCCAGCCGCCGCGGUAAUACCGGCAGCACGAGUGAUGACCGCUAUUAUUGGGCCUAAAGCGUCCGUAGCUGGCCAUGCAAGUCCAUCGGGAAAUCCGCGCGCUUAACGCGCGGGCGUCCGGUGGAAACUGCAUGGCUUGGGACCGGAAGACCAGAGGGGUACGUCCGGGGUAGGAGUGAAAUCCCGUAAUCCUGGACGGACCACCGGUGGCGAAAGCGCCUCUGGAAGACGGAUCCGACGGUGAGGGACGAAAGCUCGGGUCACGAACCGGAUUAGAUACCCGGGUAGUCCGAGCUGUAAACGAUGUCUGCUAGGUGUGGCACAGGCUACGAGCCUGUGCUGUGCCGCAGGGAAGCCGUGAAGCAGACCGCCUGGGAAGUACGUCCGCAAGGAUGAAACUAAA